This 450-nucleotide ribosomal RNA is filed under the name uncultured bacterium. RNAcentral's name for it is "bacterial SSU rRNA". It matches the Rfam family "Bacterial small subunit ribosomal RNA", at positions 354 to 796 of the family's 1533-position model. The record is from RNAcentral.
GUGGGGAAUAUUGCGCAAUGGGGGCAACCCUGACGCAGCCAUGCCGCGUGUGUGAAGAAGGCCUUCGGGUUGUAAAGCACUUUCAAUAGGGAGAAAAGGCCCACGGUUAAUACCCGUGGGAGUUGAUGUUACCUAUAGAAGAAGCACCGGCUAACUCCGUGCCAGCAGCCGCGGUAAUACGGAGGGUGCGAGCGUUAAUCGGAAUUACUGGGCGUAAAGCGCGCGUAGGCGGUCUGUUAAGUCAGCUGUGAAAGCCCCGGGCUCAACCUGGGAACUGCAGUUGAUACUGUCAGGCUGGAGUACGAGAGAGGGAGGUAGAAUUCCAUGUGUAGCGGUGAAAUGCGUAGAUAUAUGGAGGAAUACCGGUGGCGAAGGCGGCCUCCUGGCUCGAUACUGACGCUGAGGUGCGAAAGCGUGGGUAGCAAACAGGAUUAGAUACCCCAGUAGUCC